This 76-nucleotide ribosomal RNA is filed under the name Anopheles minimus A. RNAcentral's name for it is "partial 5.8S ribosomal RNA". Lineage: Eukaryota; Metazoa; Arthropoda; Insecta; Diptera; Culicidae. The record is from RNAcentral.
GAACACCGACACGUUGAACGCAUAUGGCGCAUCGGACGUUUAAACCCGACCGAUGUACACAUUCUUGAGUGCCUAC